CCAAUAAAAAUAAUCCUCAUUCUGCUUCUAGACUUGUCCAGUAAACGACUAUAGAUUUUCUGUGUUCUUGUUUCUUGUAACUGAAAACAGCGACUGCAUUGGAUUCCGAACUUAAUAGUUUUCUGUAAGCCAAUCUGCAGUCGUUAAUUCCCAUCUUAGUACCUAUUUCCGUGAAGAAGUUCAACUAAACUUCCUGUCAAAAUGUGCUGCGGACCUUGCUACUCGUGCUGCGGACCCUGCGGAGGUUGCUGCGGACCUUGCGGGCCCUGCGGUGGCUGUUGUGGACCUUGCGGACCUUGUGGACCUUGUGGACCCUGCGGCGGCUGUUGUGGACCUUGCGGAGGAUGCUGCGGACCCUGCUGUGGUGGCUGUGGUCCCUGCUGUUAGAAACAUCUUCAGAACGAAACCUAGGUACUAACCAGCAUUCGGUACAAAAAGCAACAGCAAACCCUUUGUAAAUUUAUGUAACCAUAUACAGUAAUA
RNAcentral lists this small RNA (483 nucleotides) under Drosophila virilis. RNAcentral's name for it is "GJ27054". The record is from RNAcentral. Lineage: Eukaryota; Metazoa; Arthropoda; Insecta; Diptera; Drosophilidae.